This 207-nucleotide ribosomal RNA is filed under the name uncultured bacterium. Its description in RNAcentral is "partial 16S ribosomal RNA". It matches the Rfam family "Bacterial small subunit ribosomal RNA", at positions 568 to 774 of the family's 1533-position model. The record is from RNAcentral.
CUCGUAGGCGGUUCGUCGCGUCCGGUGUGAAAGUCCAUCGCUUAACGGUGGAUCCGCGCCGGGUACGGGCGGGCUUGAGUGCGGUAGGGGAGACUGGAAUUCCCGGUGUAACGGUGGAAUGUGUAGAUAUCGGGAAGAACACCAAUGGCGAAGGCAAUCCCCUGGGCCUGUACUGACGCUCAUGCACGAAAGCGUGGGGAGCAAACA